Molecule: ribosomal RNA, 766 nt
Filed under: Staphylococcus aureus
Lineage: Bacteria; Bacillati; Bacillota; Bacilli; Caryophanales; Staphylococcaceae
Description: bacterial SSU rRNA
Rfam family: Bacterial small subunit ribosomal RNA
Source: RNAcentral
GAUGAACGCUGGCGGCGUGCCUAAUACAUGCAAGUCGAGCGAACGGACGAGAAGCUUGCUUCUCUGAUGUUAGCGGCGGACGGGUGAGUAACACGUGGAUAACCUACCUAUAAGACUGGGAUAACUUCGGGAAACCGGAGCUAAUACCGGAUGAUAUUUUGAACCGCAUGGUUCAAAAGUGAAAGACGGUCUUGCUGUCACUUAUAGAUGGAUCCGCGCUGCAUUAGCUAGUUGGUAAGGUAAUGGCUUACCAAGGCAACGAUGCAUAGCCGACCUGAGAGGGUGAUCGGCCACACUGGAACUGAGACACGGUCCAGACUCCUACGGGAGGCAGCAGUAGGGAAUCUUCCGCAAUGGGCGAAAGCCUGACGGAGCAACGCCGCGUGAGUGAUGAAGGUCUUCGGAUCGUAAAACUCUGUUAUUAGGGAAGAACAUAUGUGUAAGUAACUGUGCACAUCUUGACGGUACCUAAUCAGAAAGCCACGGCUAACUACGUGCCAGCAGCCGCGGUAAUACGUAGGUGGCAAGCGUUAUCCGGAAUUAUUGGGCGUAAAGCGCGCGUAGGCGGUUUUUUAAGUCUGAUGUGAAAGCCCACGGCUCAACCGUGGAGGGUCAUUGGAAACUGGAAAACUUGAGUGCAGAAGAGGAAAGUGGAAUUCCAUGUGUAGCGGUGAAAUGCGCAGAGAUAUGGAGGAACACCAGUGGCGAAGGCGACUUUCUGGUCUGUAACUGACGCUGAUGUGCGAAAGCGUGGGGAUCAAACAGG